GGCUCAGGAUGAACGCUAGCGGCAGGCCUAAUACAUGCAAGACGAACGGUAAGUUGAGUAGCAAUACUUAGCCAAGAGUGUCGUACGGGUGCGUAACACGUAUGCAACCUACCCUAUACAGGAGGAUAGCCUAGGGAAACCUGGAUUAACCCUUCAUAGUAUUAUUGGAUGGCAUCAUUUGAUAAUUAAAACUGAGGUGGUAUAGGAUGGGCAUGCGUCUGAUUAGUUAGUUGGCGGGGUAAUGGCCCACCAAGACGAUGAUCAGUAGGGGUUCUGAGAGGAAGAUCCCCCACACUGGCACUGAGAUACGGGCCAGACUCCUACGGGAGGCAGCAGUAGGGAAUAUUGGUCAAUGGAUGCAAGUCUGAACCAGCCAUGCCGCGUGCAGGAAGAAGGCCUUCUGGGUUGUAAACUGCUUUUGCCAGGGGAUAAAAUUUCCAUGCGUGGAAAACUGAAGGUACCUGGUGAAUAAGCCACGGCUAACUACGUG
Molecule: ribosomal RNA, 490 nt
Filed under: uncultured bacterium
Lineage: Bacteria
Description: bacterial SSU rRNA
Rfam family: Bacterial small subunit ribosomal RNA
Source: RNAcentral